CCAUCAGGAAAAGUUCUAUAAUUAACAUAAAUUAAUUCAUUUACCCCAUUUCCUCAUCACUUGAUGGUAACAAACUUUGGGAGGAGUUUUAGCCAUAGAGCUCUUCUCAGUUCGAGAAAGUUCGAUACGAUACAAAUACACGAUUACAAUAUAAAACAUUUCAUAAUAAAUAAUUUUUAUAGUUUUUUCAAUAAAUUUCAUGACUUUUUGUUUUUUAAUUUAGGCACCAUACUACCAGCACUUGUUUAACUUACACGACAUUUUUAUUAGCGACACAUCAAGAUAUUCAAGAAAAUUUACGACAAGAAUUGUUAAAUGUCUUUCAUCAAAAAGAAGAAUUAACAUAUGAUGACAUCAUGAAUUUAAGUUAUAUGGAUCAAGUUGUAAGUGAAUCACUUCGUAUUUAUCCUCCCGUUAUCAGUUUUGUCACUCGAAAAAGUAAUAUAGAAUUUCGCUAUAAAGAUUAUGUAUUUCCU
Molecule: long non-coding RNA, 476 nt
Filed under: Centruroides sculpturatus (bark scorpion)
Lineage: Eukaryota; Metazoa; Arthropoda; Arachnida; Scorpiones; Buthidae
Description: uncharacterized LOC111622966
Source: RNAcentral